This 775-nucleotide long non-coding RNA is filed under the name Malus domestica (apple). RNAcentral's name for it is "long non-coding RNA (MDOM_LNC020053)". Lineage: Eukaryota; Viridiplantae; Streptophyta; Magnoliopsida; Rosales; Rosaceae. The record is from RNAcentral.
CUAUGUGAUAGGAAAUCACUUUCAUAACCCUUAUAAUGAAUGUGUCAUAAAAUCACAAAAGGGACACAUGUAUGGACUUAUGAAGUAGAUAUCCAAAGGUGAAGAACCACAGGGGUUGUCACUUUAAGAUAUUACUAUAUCCCAGGAUCAGAACCAAAGUAACUGAUAAAGUAUUAUUGCCUUUAAGAAAGAAACAUCAGAGUGGGACUCUGGAAGCGUGCAUUCACUUAGGUUGUUAACCAAAGUGAAAAUAAGCCAUUUUAACAAAUGGAACUUCAUAAUGGAUGAAGUACUGAUCAUAUGAAUGAAUUGUUAGUAUUGUACUACAAUGGUCUCAAGGUUGGAGCAAAGUUUGUAUAAAGUAUACAAACAAAAUAUAUGUCGAUAUAUAGUUUUAGAAACUGCUUCAAAAAGGUGUUUUGAAUGGAAGAGGUUCUUUUAGAAACAAUGAUUGAAUCCAAACCAUAAGGUCGUUAGUAGGAUACUACGACGUAAUGGGGCGAUAGCUCAAGCCAUGGAAUCAAGGUCUCAUCAAAGUAUUCGAACACAAUAAAGAGACAUCAUCAAAUGUUUUAGAAACAUUUGAUAAGUAAAUCCCUUUUAAAUAAAAAGGAUUAAUACAUAACCAAGUUAACCUACGAGCAUAAGCUCUCUCAACUAGCAUGUAUAAGAUACACUAGUGAUUGACUUUAGUGCAAGUGGGAGAUUGUUGGAAAUAUGCCCUGAAAGUCAAUCUUUGGAAGAAACCUUUCAGGACAAAUGAAUCGAUGUAUAG